Molecule: ribosomal RNA, 253 nt
Filed under: uncultured bacterium
Lineage: Bacteria
Description: partial 16S ribosomal RNA
Rfam family: Bacterial small subunit ribosomal RNA
Source: RNAcentral
UACGGAGGGCGCAAGCGUUGUUCGGAAUCACUGGGCGUAAAGCGCGUGUAGGCGGCUUGGCAAGUCGGUUGUGAAAUCCCGGGGCCCAACCCCGGAACUGCAAUCGAAACUGCCUCGCUAGAGUCCCGGAGAGGAAGGCGGAAUUCCCGGUGUAGAGGUGAAAUUCGUAGAUAUCGGGAGGAACACCAGUGGCGAAGGCGGCCUUCUGGACGGUGACUGACGCUCAGACGCGAAAGCGUGGGGAGCAAACAGG